UAAUUCUCAUGCUUCAUGGCAGAUUUUUAGUUGGUUUUUUCAAAAAAAAAGGAAACCCAUUCAGCUGGAGACAUUCACAACCCUGACCAGCGGCGUAGGGAUGGGCGCUCAGAGGCCCCAGCUUUUACACUCAGGGAGUCCACUGCCCCAUAGCCACGCUGGCUGGAGCAGAGGGUCAGGUCUGAAGAGAAAACGUGGUCUUGACUGAAAUUCUGAAGCUGCAAAGUGCUCUUGACUGUCUGAAAAACCUGAAGGUGCAAGGGGGUCUUGAUUGUCUGAAAAAUUUGCCCUCAGCUAGUCCACAUCAUCUACCACUUGUCUGCAUUGAAUAACACUUGACCUAGGCCUGGCCUGAUGCAAAGAGCCUGACAGAAUUAAUUCUGUGUUGUGAGUGAUUUACAAUACAAUGCUGACAGUAUUUGCUGCAUGCCUUGAGAGCAUCCUCACCAGGACUGUGGCUUUGCUUGCCUUUCACAUCUGUUACCUCCUGAAGCUGUGGAACAGAGCAUAUGCAGGUCUUGACCUACACAAGUUUAAAGAGCUGCAGUCUUCAGGCAAAGUCCUCUACACUCCUGGAAUGAGAAACAAGAGAGGUCCUACUACAAAGAUCCCAGCUGAUACAAAAAGAACAAAAAAAAAAAAAGAAAGGCAGAAAGAAUAGCAUAUAUUAAAUUCUGAAAGAGGACAACACACUUGAGCAAAGAGUAAGCCUUGUCUGAAGCUGUUGGUGUGAAAGUAUCGAAGUGGAGAUUAGAAAAAGAUCUGUCUUGUAUUCCAAAUGCACUUUGCACUGUGAUGAACCCAACCUGCCAUGCCAGAAAUAUUCAAGACUCUAUUACUGCUGACUUUAGGAUCUUAAACUGAGAUUGGAGAAAUAGGAAGGAGAUGAGAGGAGAUGGGCUGCAAAUACCUUGGACAUGAAGAAAGCUGAGCUCAUGCAAUGCUGGAAAUGAGAGAAAAGGAGAAUUUAUAAUUGCACAGCCCAAGAGUUAAACUUCAACAGCUCUUAGCAACUGUGUAGACAUGAAAAUCAAUCACCAACAGUAGCUCUGUCCUUAGGAAAGCUGGGUUCAUUAUACCCAGCUCUUACAGAACAUUAAUUCUGUCUUA
Vidua chalybeata is the source of this 1110-nucleotide long non-coding RNA. RefSeq lists it as uncharacterized. Lineage: Eukaryota; Metazoa; Chordata; Aves; Passeriformes; Viduidae. The record is from RefSeq and is a predicted model, not a curated record. The transcript has 6 exons.